This 770-nucleotide long non-coding RNA is filed under the name Homo sapiens (human). RNAcentral describes it as "HSALNT0144603". Lineage: Eukaryota; Metazoa; Chordata; Mammalia; Primates; Hominidae. The record is from RNAcentral.
UUGGAGUGUCCAUGACCACAAAGCUGAGGCCCAGGCUCAGAAGUAGCAGCUGUGCAAACUGUGAUGUCUAGUACAUACAAGAGGCAGCAGUGGGACCAUCAUCAGAUGAACUCUGUGUUUACUGGACAUCAUUCACAGAAGCCGAGGGUUAAGCAAUUGACUAUCAAUCAAUAAUCUUUUAUGAAAGAAGAGAUGGUGCAGCACACGCAUGCCCAAUAUUAAGAGAGAGAAGACAUUUAUUGAGGCAAGCAGCUGGAGUGGACCUGCCCCCAUCACCAGGCCAGCUUCCCACCUGCACGUGCAGCUCUUUCUUCUUUUGCAGGAGGCUGGCUCUGCUCAUUAGACAUGCAACAAAGAGCUGGCCUGUGGAGCACACAUCCAUAUUCAUAACUCAAGUCAGCUGGAAAGUUGUACAUUUUUCUUUCUGGGAAGUCAUGGCGACAAAGACUGAAGACCCAGGCAGCACAAAUGUGAAUGAUGGAUCUCUUGGAAGAACAACAAAGACUGAAUUCCAUGGAAAAGAGAAGGAGGUGAACAAAAGGAAGAAAUGCAGAGAAAAAUAUGGAAUAGAAAUAUGAGGGAAGAUAUUAGCAAACUGGCUACAUCUUUUAUGACAAACUCAACUGAUUACAUCUUUUCCAAGAACAUCUUCAGAGGUUUGCUGGAGUUUGGAUUUACUACUGAGUCAUAUUUGGAGCAUGCUGGAAUCUUACAACUGAGAUUACCGAGUCAGAAACUGUUGUUUUUGUUGUAAGAACACUCAACAUGGC